RNAcentral lists this ribosomal RNA (433 nucleotides) under uncultured bacterium. RNAcentral describes it as "partial 16S ribosomal RNA". It matches the Rfam family "Bacterial small subunit ribosomal RNA", at positions 29 to 507 of the family's 1533-position model. The record is from RNAcentral.
AACGAACGCUGGCGGCAUGCCUAACACAUGCAAGUCGAACGAGACCUUCGGGUCUAGUGGCGCACGGGUGCGUAACGCGUGGGAACCUGCCCUUAGGUUCGGAAUAACUCCCCGAAAGGGGUGCUAAUACCGGAUAAUGUCUUCGGACCAAAGGUUUAUCGCCUUUGGAUGGGCCCGCGUUGGAUUAGCUAGUUGGUAGGGUAAAAGCCUACCAAGGCGACGAUCCAUAGCUGGUCUGAGAGGAUGAUCAGCCACACUGGGACUGAGACACGGCCCAGACUCCUACGGGAGGCAGCAGUGGGGAAUAUUAGACAAGGGGCGAGAGUCUGAUCCAGCAAUGCCGCGUAAAUGAUGAAGGCCUUAGGGUUGGAAAGCUCUUUUACCCGGGAUGAUAAUGACAGUACCGGGAGAAUAAGCUCCGGCUAACUCCGUG